UUCAAUAUCACUGCAGUUCAAUGGCCAUGGAGGGAGGGAGGGAGGGAAUGCGUUUCCACAUUAAUACAUAGACCCAUACUCUUCACACACAGCUGUACUUGCCCUGACACACAACCCCAGACAUGAAUUAGACUCACACAGACCAGGACGUGGUGGAAAUAGCCAGCGGCGCCCCCCAAGGCUUUCUAAGCAAAUAGCCAUGCACAAACAAAUACGUAGAAGACCAUUAGACACACACACACACACACACACACAUAGACAGGAAAAAGACACAAACACACACAGAUAUGCAUGAAAAAAAAUUGUGCACACACGCACUAGAAAAAGACACAGGUAUACUCCUAGACAUAGGAGAUCACAGACAGAGAAAAUACCAGACAGUAUACACGAGUGUCGACUCUGAAAUACAUAUGUAAUGCCACACAUAAUCACACACAGACUGGGGGGGGGACAUGAAAUGAGAACAAGAGAACGCAUGGAAAAAAGGUCAUUAAAUAACCUCAGGGCAAUUUACCAUGAAAACUCGCUCUUCCAUCCAACCCCGUCCCCUUUGCUUUCCUUCCUCAUCUGCUUUCCUCUCCUUUUUUUCUCGAUUAUCUGUUUUCUAUUGGUCUGUCUGUCCGUCCGUCCGUCUGUCUGUCUUUGUCUUUGUACUCCCUUAGUGCCCAUAUUAGGACUGUUGGGAUCUGUCCAGAACAGAGAGAGAAAGUGUUGCAUGCCUUCUCCACAGAUUGCAUCAAGUAGGUUAGAGGUUGUGAAAGGGGAAAUCCACUGUCUCCACAGUUAUUUUUUUGGGACUCUGCACUAUACAACUUUAUUUGAUGGCAGAACAUUCAGAGGCUGUAAGCUUGACACCUGGCAAAAUGCUUCUUCUGUUUCUGUGUCUCGGUUUGGUCACUUCUAAUGUCCAGUCAAGAAUACCAGGGGUUAACGUAACGUGUGAAAAUCAAUCGGUUGUAGCAGGGCAGAACCACAACCUGACAUGUAGAGUGGAUUACCGUGAUGCAGAUCAGAAUAAGACGGGAUGUAAAACUGAACUCUAUUUCUGGAAGCAUAAAUCAAAAACUCCUAUACGAAUUUGUACAACAGAUUGUAACAUUACGAUAACAACCAAAACCUACUUUUUUGAGAUCAAAAAUGUUUCCAAAGCUGAUGAGGGAAACUACACUUUUUUCAUUAACACAGUCUGUGGCAACGGAAAUGGCACAUUGAAUGUUAAAGUUACAUUGAGAAAUGAGAAACCACAGACUGAAAUGAGAAAACAGGGAUCGUCACGUCACAUAAUCGUCAUUAUCAUCACUGUUCUGGGUGUUCUGCUGUUUCUCAUCGCUUCUGGUUACGGCAGAAGAUUGAUGGGUCGACUUAAGUUCCUUGAGAAAAAUGACAACGUUGACAAGAGCCCUGAAGCUACCAGAGAGGCCCUAAACCUGGAGCCUGCAUAA
RNAcentral lists this long non-coding RNA (1442 nucleotides) under Salmo trutta (river trout). Its description in RNAcentral is "lncRNA (ENSSTUG00000010397.1)". Lineage: Eukaryota; Metazoa; Chordata; Actinopteri; Salmoniformes; Salmonidae. The record is from RNAcentral.